Molecule: ribosomal RNA, 254 nt
Filed under: uncultured bacterium
Lineage: Bacteria
Description: partial 16S ribosomal RNA
Rfam family: Bacterial small subunit ribosomal RNA
Source: RNAcentral
UACGUAGGUGGCAAGCGUUAUCCGGAUUUAUUGGGUUUAAAGGGUGCGUAGGCGGUUCGAUAAGUCAGUGGUUAAAGGUAGCAGCUUAACUGUUUUACAUGCCACUGAUACUGCCGAACUUGAGUUGACAGAAGGCAGAUAGAAUUUCUGGUGUAGCGGUGAAAUGCUUAGAUACCAGAAGGAAUACCGAUUGCGAAGGCAGUCUGCUGCAGUCACACUGACGCUGAGGCACGAAAGUGCGGGGAUCAAACAGG